AGAGCGAACGCUGGCGGCAGGCCUAACACAUGCAAGUCGAACGGACUCUUCGGAGUUAGUGGCGGACGGGUGAGUAACACGUGGGAACGUGCCUUUAGGUUCGGAAUAGCUCCUGGAAACGGGUGGUAAUACCGAAUGUGCCCUUCGGGGGAAAGAUUUAUCGCCUUUAGAGCGGCCCGCGUCUGAUUAGCUUGUUGGUGAGGUAAUGGCUCACCAAGGCUACGAUCAGUAGCUGGUCUGAGAGGAUGACCAGCCACAUUGGGACUGAGACACGGCCCAAACUCCUACGGGAGGCAGCAGUGGGGAAUCUUGCGCAAUGGGCGAAAGCCUGACGCAGCCAUGCCGCGUGUAUGAUGAAAGGUCUUAAGGAUUAGUAAAAAUUACUUUCACCGGUAGAAGAAUAAUGACUGUAGUCCGGAAGAAAGGAAAGACCCCGGCGUAACUUCGCGCCCAGCAGCCGC
Molecule: ribosomal RNA, 461 nt
Filed under: uncultured soil bacterium
Lineage: Bacteria
Description: bacterial SSU rRNA
Rfam family: Bacterial small subunit ribosomal RNA
Source: RNAcentral